GGGUUGUGAGGUUAAGCGACUAAGCGUACACGGUGGAUGCCCUGGCAGUCAGAGGCGAUGAAGGACGUGCUAAUCUGCGAAAAGCGUCGGUAAGGUGAUAUGAACCGUUAUAACCGGCGAUGUCCGAAUGGGGAAACCCAGUGCAAUUCGUUGCACUAUCGUUAACUGAAUACAUAGGUUAACGAGGCGAACCGGGGGAACUGAAACAUCUAAGUACCCCGAGGAAAAGAAAUCAACCGAGAUUCCCCCAGUAGCGGCGAGCGAACGGGGAGCAGCCCAGAGUCUGAAUCAGCUUGUGUGUUAGUGGAACGGUCUGGAAAGUCCGACGGUACAGGGUGAUAGUCCCGUACACCAAAAUGCACAGGUUGUGAACUCGAAGAGUAGGGCGGGACACGUGGUAUCCUGUCUGAAUAUGGGGGGACCAUCCUCCAAGGCUAAAUACUCCUGACUGACCGAUAGUGAACCAGUACCGUGAGGGAAAGGCGAAAAGAACCCCGGCGAGGGGAGUGAAAAAGAACCUGAAACCGUGUACGUACAAGCAGUGGGAGCACCUUCGGGUGUGACUGCGUACCUUUUGUAUAAUGGGUCAGCGACUUAUAUUCUGUAGCAAGGUUAACCGUAUAGGGGAGCCGCAGGGAAACCGAGUCUUAACUGGGCGUUAAGUUGCAGGGUAUAGACCCGAAACCCGGUGAUCUAGCCAUGGGCAGGUUGAAGGUUGGGUAACACUAACUGGAGGACCGAACCGACUAAUGUUGAAAAAUUAGCGGAUGACUUGUGGCUGGGGGUGAAAGGCCAAUCAAACCGGGAGAUAGCUGGUUCUCCCCGAAAGCUAUUUAGGUAGCGCCUCGUGAACUCAUCUUCGGGGGUAGAGCACUGUUUCGGCUAGGGGGUCAUCCCGACUUACCAACCCGAUGCAAACUACGAAUACCGAAGAAUGUUAUCACGGGAGACACACGGCGGGUGCUAACGUCCGUCGUGAAGAGGGAAACAACCCAGACCGCCAGCUAAGGUCCCAAAGUCAUGGUUAAGUGGGAAACGAUGUGGGAAGGCACAGACAGCCAGGAUGUUGGCUUAGAAGCAGCCAUCAUUUAAAGAAAGCGUAAUAGCUCACUGGUCGAGUCGGCCUGCGCGGAAGAUGUAACGGGGCUAAACCAUGCACCGAAGCUGCGGCAGCGACACUAUGUGUUGUUGGGUAGGGGAGCGUUCUGUAAGCCUGCGAAGGUGACCUGUGAGGGUUGCUGGAGGUAUCAGAAGUGCGAAUGCUGACAUAAGUAACGAUAAAGCGGGUGAAAAGCCCGCUCGCCGGAAGACCAAGGGUUCCUGUCCAACGUUAAUCGGGGCAGGGUGAGUCGACCCCUAAGGCGAGGCCGAAAGGCGUAGUCGAUGGGAAACAGGUUAAUAUUCCUGUACUUGGUGUUACUGCGAAGGGGGGACGGAGAAGGCUAUGUUAGCCGGGCGACGGUUGUCCCGGUUUAAGCAUGUAGGCUGGUUAUCCAGGCAAAUCCGGAUAAUCAAGGCUGAGGUGUGAUGACGAGGCACUACGGUGCUGAAGUAACAAAUGCCCUGCUUCCAGGAAAAGCCUCUAAGCAUCAGGUAACAUCAAAUCGUACCCCAAACCGACACAGGUGGUCAGGUAGAGAAUACCAAGGCGCUUGAGAGAACUCGGGUGAAGGAACUAGGCAAAAUGGUGCCGUAACUUCGGGAGAAGGCACGCUGGUGUGUAGGUGAAGCCCCUGCGGGUGGAGCUGAGACCAGUCGAAGAUACCAGCUGGCUGCAACUGUUUAUUAAAAACACAGCACUGUGCAAACACGAAAGUGGACGUAUACGGUGUGACGCCUGCCCGGUGCCGGAAGGUUAAUUGAUGGGGUUAUCCGUAAGGAGAAGCUCUUGAUCGAAGCCCCGGUAAACGGCGGCCGUAACUAUAACGGUCCUAAGGUAGCGAAAUUCCUUGUCGGGUAAGUUCCGACCUGCACGAAUGGCGUAAUGAUGGCCAGGCUGUCUCCACCCGAGACUCAGUGAAAUUGAACUCGCUGUGAAGAUGCAGUGUACCCGCGGCAAGACGGAAAGACCCCGUGAACCUUUACUAUAGCUUGACACUGAACAUUGAGCCUUGAUGUGUAGGAUAGGUGGGAGGCUUUGAAGCGUGGACGCCAGUCUGCGUGGAGCCAACCUUGAAAUACCACCCUUUAAUGUUUGAUGUUCUAACGUUGGCCCCUGACCGGGGUUGCGGACAGUGUCUGGUGGGUAGUUUGACUGGGGCGGUCUCCUCCCAAAGCGUAACGGAGGAGCACGAAGGUUAGCUAAUCCUGGUCGGACAUCAGGAGGUUAGUGCAAUGGCAUAAGCUAGCUUGACUGCGAGCGUGACGGCGCGAGCAGGUGCGAAAGCAGGUCAUAGUGAUCCGGUGGUUCUGAAUGGAAGGGCCAUCGCUCAACGGAUAAAAGGUACUCCGGGGAUAACAGGCUGAUACCGCCCAAGAGUUCAUAUCGACGGCGGUGUUUGGCACCUCGAUGUCGGCUCAUCACAUCCUGGGGCUGAAGUAGGUCCCAAGGGUAUGGCUGUUCGCCAUUUAAAGUGGUACGCGAGCUGGGUUUAGAACGUCGUGAGACAGUUCGGUCCCUAUCUGCCGUGGGCGCUGGAGAAUUGAGGGGGGCUGCUCCUAGUACGAGAGGACCGGAGUGGACGCAUCACUGGUGUUCGGGUUGUCAUGCCAAUGGCACUGCCCGGUAGCUAAAUGCGGAAGAGAUAAGUGCUGAAAGCAUCUAAGCACGAAACUUGCCCCGAGAUGAGUUCUCCCUGAGACUUUAAGUCUCCUGAAGGAACGUU
This 2825-nucleotide ribosomal RNA is filed under the name Klebsiella pneumoniae. Its description in RNAcentral is "partial 23S ribosomal RNA". It matches the Rfam family "Bacterial large subunit ribosomal RNA". Lineage: Bacteria; Pseudomonadati; Pseudomonadota; Gammaproteobacteria; Enterobacterales; Enterobacteriaceae. The record is from RNAcentral.